GUCCCAGCUGAAAAAAUUAUUCAUUCAUAUGUUAUUUGCUCAAAAUGUCUGACUGUGAUGAUUCAUUAAUUGAGGUUAGAAAACUUAUUCUGUGUAAAUGCCUACUGAACUUCUUAUUGCUGCUUGUUCAGCUUCAUUAUGUACCCUAUUCUAAACUAGUAAUGUUGACUAUUCCUUGGUAGUUUUUGAGUUGAAAAACUGAAACUUACCUUCCAUCUGCAGCCCAUUGCCCAUGUAAAUUGUUCCCUUGGCAGCCCAGGUGAGCAUAAACAAUCAUACAUAUCACUCCAAGAGCUUCUACACCAAAAUUACAUCCUGUAAUCAUUCUGGCUGAUGGCUUGAAGCUUGACACCACAUAACCAGAUGCGAUCACACCAAUUGCUGAACUAAUUAGUCCUACGUUUCCUAUAUAACAAAUGUGAGAUUACAACAAGAAAUUCCAUACUGCA
Long non-coding RNA from Homalodisca vitripennis (glassy-winged sharpshooter), 449 nucleotides. RefSeq lists it as uncharacterized. The transcript is spliced from 2 exons. The record is from RefSeq and is a predicted model, not a curated record. NCBI's taxonomy places the organism in Eukaryota, Metazoa, Arthropoda, Insecta, Hemiptera, Cicadellidae.